RNAcentral lists this ribosomal RNA (433 nucleotides) under uncultured bacterium. RNAcentral describes it as "partial 16S ribosomal RNA". It matches the Rfam family "Bacterial small subunit ribosomal RNA", at positions 29 to 507 of the family's 1533-position model. The record is from RNAcentral.
AGCGAACGCUGGCGGCAGGCUUAACACAUGCAAGUCGAGCGGGCCCUUCGGGGUCAGCGGCAGACGGGUGAGUAACACGUGGGAACGUACCCUUUGGGUCGGAAGAACGCUGGGAAACUAGCGCUAAUACCGGAUACGCCCUUUUGGGGAAAGGCUUGCUGCCGAAGGAUCGGCCCGCGUCUGAUUAGCUAGUUGGUGGGGUAAUGGCCUACCAAGGCGACGAUCAGUAGCUGGUCUGAGAGGAUGAUCAGCCACACUGGGACUGAGACACGGCCCAGACUCCUACGGGAGGCAGCAGUGGGGAAUAUUGGACAAUGGGCGCAAGCCUGAUCCAGCCAUGCCGCGUGAGUGAUGAAGGCCUUAGGGUUGUAAAGCUCUUUUGUCCGGGACGAUAAUGACGGUACCGGAAGAAUAAGCCCCGGCUAACUUCGUG